This 468-nucleotide ribosomal RNA is filed under the name uncultured bacterium. Its description in RNAcentral is "partial 16S ribosomal RNA". The stretch from base 62 to 468 matches the Rfam family "Bacterial small subunit ribosomal RNA", at positions 39 to 507 of the family's 1533-position model. The record is from RNAcentral.
GGGGGGGGGGGGGGGGGUGGGGGGGGGGGGGGGGGCGGGGGGGGGGGCGGGGGGGGGGGGGGGGGCGCGGGGGGCGAGGGGUGGAGUCACGCGGGGGUGAGCUGCCGGUGACUGUCGUGUGACUUCGGGACCCUGUGGCUAAGGACGGAUCGGCGCUACUGCUGCCUUGUGGGGGUUGGAAAGUUUCGGCGGUUGGGGAUGGACGCGCGGCGUAUCAGCUUGUUGGUGGGGUAGGUGCUUACCAAGGCUUUGACGGGUAGCCGGCCUGCGAGGGUGACCGGCCAUAUUGGGACUGAGAUACGGCCCAGACUCCUACGGGAGGCAGCAGUGGGGAAUAUUUCACAAUGGGCGGAAGCCUGAUGCAGCAACGCCGCGUGCGGGAUGACGGCCUUCGGGUUGUAAACCGCUUUCGCCUGUGACGAAGCGUGAGUGACGGUAAUGGGUAAAGAAGCACCGGCUAACUACGUG